Long non-coding RNA from Macrobrachium nipponense, 714 nucleotides. RefSeq lists it as uncharacterized. The record is from RefSeq and is a predicted model, not a curated record. The transcript is spliced from 2 exons. NCBI's taxonomy places the organism in Eukaryota, Metazoa, Arthropoda, Malacostraca, Decapoda, Palaemonidae.
GGAAGCUAUUUGCAAUGUAUUUAUGAAGUAUUCCCACAUAAUGAAGAGCUGGAUUCUCUUAUGAAAAGGGUAUCUCGACAAGUCCGAGGAAAUUUCACAGAUGAGGGAAAUAAGCAAGUGUGUGAAUUUGUUCAGAGGGGCUUUGACCGUCAUUUCUACUUCAAUCCCAGUCCACUGAACAGCACGUAGGAUAAUGCAUGUUGUAUUUAGCCAGUUAUAUUAAAAUUUUAUACUUAAUAAUGUGUUGUCUGGAGGUGGUGCUUCCCCCACUAAUACAUACAUAGAAAUAUUUUUUUGUGCUUCCAUACUUACAAAGUACAUAGAGGCUCCAUGCUUAUAAGCUUGCCAGAUCUGAAAAUGUGUUAUAUUGGCAUAUGAAUAAUUUUCAUAAAGGUAUUAUUGUAUUUGUGAAUUAAUGUUAAGUCAUUUAACAAAUUCACAGUAUCUUUUUGGUUCAUCUUGGAUUAGGUCAACUGCUUGCUUAAAUAGUAUGUGUGUGUGUGUGUGUGUACUGUGUCAUAGGCUUGCAUAUUUUUGUAUGAUCUUAGAAACUUGCGAAUUACCAGUCUGUGAUUAUAUGUAAUACGUAGAUGCUCAAGUCCUUUACUCUUAAGUCCAAAUUAAAAAGUUAUUUCUUCUAUAUGUAAGUCUUAAGAAAGUGAUUUGUGUUUGUAGAUGCAUGUAUCCUGGUUGUAUUAAUAUCUAAUUAGUUUA